CGCACGGCCGGCGGCCCGCUCCUCCUGCUCGAGGAUCAAGGCCUCCAGACUCAUUUUGCUGAGACAGGACCUGGAGGAGGGAAAGACGGCAGGAGCAAGGAGUGAGGAAUGUUCUUUCCCAGGGCUCUUCCAGGUGACACAUCCAACUCUCGGAAGCUCCUAGUGACACUGCGAUCUCAGCGGGGACCUGGGUUUCAGUUGCGGAUGGGCCGGGGCCCUGCUGCCUGUUCUGGUGCCCGCAGAGGCAAGUUCUGGGCAUCGGUCACUGGGGGUUGGAGUCAUCUCACCACACUGACCUGCCGCCUAGGGUAGUUCUCUCUCCUGAACCAGCAUGUCUUUGUUCCUUCACAGGAUGAAGGUGAAGACAUGAGACAUGAGCGCCUGUCCUUAGGCUGACAGAUGUCACUGAUGCCUAAGGGACAGAGGAGCCGUAGCUGAGAAGUACUGCAUGUAAGGCUAGUGUUCGAUUUGCAGGAGGCAAAACCAGUAAAAUUGAAGGUAGAAUAGUAAGAAUCAGGCAAGAUAAGUCAGGAGGAAAAAAUAGGCGCGACUGUCCAGCGCGUGCUCGAGCCAGCUCCGUAGCCGUCACUCUUCCAGGAGUCUGCAGGGCUGGGGUGGUUUGGGGUAGAAACAUUUUCUUAAUGACUUUUGGGUGCAGAUGUGCUGCACCCUUCCAGUGUUCACAGAGUCACGCCGAGCUGUAUCAAUGGGAGAUAGAACUUUGGGGAGAAGGUGGGCCAAGGCGGCAGGAACUCUUGUAUCUUCACACCUCACUCGCUGUAAUUAGUUGCAAAUAAAGUCUUCACA
Long non-coding RNA from Talpa occidentalis (Iberian mole), 807 nucleotides. RefSeq lists it as uncharacterized. The transcript is spliced from 3 exons. The record is from RefSeq and is a predicted model, not a curated record. NCBI's taxonomy places the organism in Eukaryota, Metazoa, Chordata, Mammalia, Eulipotyphla, Talpidae.